Long non-coding RNA from Peromyscus eremicus (cactus mouse), 816 nucleotides. RefSeq lists it as uncharacterized. NCBI's taxonomy places the organism in Eukaryota, Metazoa, Chordata, Mammalia, Rodentia, Cricetidae. The transcript is spliced from 3 exons. The record is from RefSeq and is a predicted model, not a curated record.
UCUUGGGCCAUUUGUGUAGCCUCUUAUUUGAAUAGUUAAGAGGACCCAUCACUAUGUUUUAUAAAACCAUUGGCUUUCUUUUCUGAAACUGCCCAUUCGGGGUGAAGCACCAGGGGCUGUGUUUGUCUGAGUGCUUUGUUAUGAGGAAACCAGGAGCAAACGGAUAGUUGCAAAGAAAUGUGGAGACUCGCUCUCAUUGCAAAUGCUAUUCUUCAUAUAAGCCAGUUCCUCCUUUUCCACCUUCCAGGAGUCUGCUUCCUUCUCCAGUCCAAUGAACAAAGAAUCACAUUCUCUUGAUAAUUUCGGUUUCAAGUGCAUGUCUCAUGUAUUUGUAUGUAAAUGGGUUUAUAUAUUUAUGAGUAUAGCAGUAUGUUACUAGGAGUCAUUUUAUUGCUAUAUUCCUUUAUCAGAACAGUACUAACAUUUUCCUCCUAGGCCCAUGACACAUCAUGUCUUAGGAUCUUGGGCACUUGAGCAGUGUCAGCAUAUAAAGGCAUGUAUCUGCUGUGGUAUUCGCAUGGAGUCAGGGGACUAGUCUAUGGAGUCAGCGGUCUUCCUCUACCUUUGCAUGAGUUCCAGGGAUUACACUCCAGUUGCCAGGCUUGCAUGAGUUGAAGAACUCCUCGGGAAUAAGAAAAGCACAGAGUACUGAUACCAAGGUAACUUUCAACUUUUCCACAUUCUCCAAAUCUACCUUAAAACUUCACAUUACUCUUUCUAAUUGUACUGUAGUUUCUCUGGUAUUAGCCACCUACUUACCCCAGGUUUAAAUUCAGAACAACAACAAAAAAAGCUUCUGUCAUUCCAAAAUGGAAA